UAGGGAAUCUUCGGCAAUGGGGGCAACCCUGACCGAGCAACGCCGCGUGAGUGAAGAAGGUUUUCGGAUCGUAAAGCUCUGUUGUAAGAGAAGAACGUGUGUGAGAGUGGAAAGUUCACACAGUGACGGUAACUUACCAGAAAGGGACGGCUAACUACGUGCCAGCAGCCGCGGUAAUACGUAGGUCCCGAGCGUUGUCCGGAUUUAUUGGGCGUAAAGCGAGCGCAGGCGGUUGAAUAAGUCUGAAGUUAAAGGCAGUGGCUUAACCAUUGGUCGAAUUGGAAAGUGUUAAGCUUGAGUGCAGAAGGGGAGAGGGGAAUUCCAGGUGUAGCGGUGAAAUGCGUAGAGAUAUGGAGGAGCACCGGUGGCGAAAGCGGCUCUCUGGUCUGUAACUGACGCGGAGGCUCGAAAGCGUGGGGAGCAAACAGG
RNAcentral lists this ribosomal RNA (429 nucleotides) under bacterium. Its description in RNAcentral is "partial 16S ribosomal RNA". It matches the Rfam family "Bacterial small subunit ribosomal RNA", at positions 355 to 776 of the family's 1533-position model. The record is from RNAcentral.